UACGGAGGAUGCAAGCGUUAUCCGGAAUGAUUGGGCGUAAAGCGUCCGCAGGUGGCUGUGUAAGUCUGCUGUCAAAGAGCAAAGCUCAACUUUGUAAAGGCAGUGGAAACUACACGGUUAAAGUGCGUUCGGGGCAGAGGGAAUUCCUGGUGUAGCGGUGAAAUGCGUAGAGAUCAGGAAGAACACCGGUGGCGAAGGCGCUCUGCUAGGCCGCAACUGACACUGAGGGACGAGAGCGUGGGGAGCAAACAGG
RNAcentral lists this ribosomal RNA (253 nucleotides) under uncultured bacterium. RNAcentral's name for it is "partial 16S ribosomal RNA". It matches the Rfam family "Bacterial small subunit ribosomal RNA", at positions 524 to 776 of the family's 1533-position model. The record is from RNAcentral.